RNAcentral lists this ribosomal RNA (395 nucleotides) under Blastocystis sp. Its description in RNAcentral is "SSU rRNA". It matches the Rfam family "Eukaryotic small subunit ribosomal RNA", at positions 545 to 952 of the family's 1831-position model. The record is from RNAcentral. Lineage: Eukaryota; Bigyra; Opalinata; Blastocystidae.
CCAUUCGAGGGCAAGUCUGGUGCCAGCAGCCGCGGUAAUUCCAGCUCCAAUAGCGUAUAUUAACGUUGUUGCAGUUAAAAAGCUCGUAGUUGAAGUGUGGGUGAUCGCUGUUGUGAGACUUCGGUCUCUCGACAGUAAGUCACCCCCUUCCAGUAUCCAGUAGUGGGUAUUCAGUUACUUACUACUGUGUGUUGGUCCUUUACUGUGAGAAAAUUAGAGUGUUCAAAGCAGGCGUUUGCUUGAAUAGAUUACAUGGAAUAAUAAUUGAAGGCUUUCGUGUUCGAUUUGAUUGGUUUGUUCAUGGAACCAAGGUUAAAAGGAACGUUGGGGGUAUUCAUAUUCACUACUUAGAGGUGAAAUUCUCCCAUUUAGGGAAGAUUAACGACUCCGAAAGC